UUCUCUCCUGUGCUUUGGAGUCUUAUUCAGGAAUUUUUUUUCAGGAGAUUUUUCCCUAGUGAAGAUCUGUGUGGCUUCCGGUUUCCUUCAGCUGGGUCUUACAGACCCCAGAGCACCCCGCCUGCUGUUACGAGCCUUUCAGCUUCUACUCCAGCCUUGCAGCAGAUCUUGAGUCCUGGCACAGGUCAUGCCCAUGCCUAUGGGUUCUUCAGCUCAUAGCUCGUGGCGUUCAUUGUUGUAUCCGGGAAACCGAUGCUUUCUGCCCAACAAUAUGUUUCAAAGCUACAAAGAAGACAAAGUGAGAUCAGUGAAAUGUCCUUUAUCUGGAAAAAUCCAGUUCUGGAAAUCAUGAGUGCCUUCACAAGAUGCAUCUUAAUAUAUGAUGACUGCCGCUGUUAAGGACCACCGAACCGGAAGAUAGGCUCGAAAAACAUUGCCGUGUGCGCUCAUCCACCUCCUUCAGCAGCUCUGGCCCCAAGUGACCUCUGGCUCUUCCCAAAACCAAAACGACCAUGAAAGGAAGCAGGAUGAUAAAACUUCUCUACUGCAAACCUGUGCUGCCUGUAUGAAGAAAGAAAAGAGGACUAGGAAGGCAGAACCAACAGCCACUGGGACCUUCUCCCAGCUCUUGAAAUCUAGUCAAGGAAUUCUGCCAGGAGUCUUCAGGUGGAAU
This is a long non-coding RNA of Cavia porcellus (domestic guinea pig), 673 nucleotides long. RefSeq lists it as uncharacterized. The record is from RefSeq and is a predicted model, not a curated record. NCBI's taxonomy places the organism in Eukaryota, Metazoa, Chordata, Mammalia, Rodentia, Caviidae. The transcript has 4 exons.